Molecule: ribosomal RNA, 500 nt
Filed under: uncultured bacterium
Lineage: Bacteria
Description: partial 16S ribosomal RNA
Rfam family: Bacterial small subunit ribosomal RNA
Source: RNAcentral
AUUGAACGCUGGCGGAAUGCUUUACACAUGCAAGUCGAACGGCAGCACGGACUUCGGUCUGGUGGCGAGUGGCGAACGGGUGAGUAAUACAUCGGAACGUGCCCAGUCGUGGGGGAUAACGUAGCGAAAGCUACGCUAAUACCGCAUACGAUCUAAGGAUGAAAGCGGGGGACCGUAAGGCCUCGCGCGAUUGGAGCGGCCGAUGGCAGAUUAGGUAGUUGGUGGGGUAAAGGCCUACCAAGCCGACGAUCUGUAGCUGGUCUGAGAGGACGAGCAGCCACACUGGGACUGAGACACGGCCCAGACUCCUACGGGAGGCAGCAGUGGGGAAUUUUGGACAAUGGGCGCAAGCCUGAUCCAGCCAUUCCGCGUGCAGGAUGAAGGCCCUCGGGUUGUAAACUGCUUUUGUACGGAACGAAAAGGCUCUGGUUAAUACCUGGGGCUCAUGACGGUACCGUAAGAAUAAGCACCGGCUAACUACGUGCCGGCCGCCGCCGUAA